Molecule: ribosomal RNA, 142 nt
Filed under: uncultured Alphaproteobacteria bacterium
Lineage: Bacteria; Pseudomonadati; Pseudomonadota; Alphaproteobacteria
Description: partial 16S ribosomal RNA
Rfam family: Bacterial small subunit ribosomal RNA
Source: RNAcentral
AGCGUUGUUCGGAAUUACUGGGCGUAAAGCGCGUGUAGGCGGGUCUUUAAGUCAGGGGUGAAAUGCCAAGGCUCAACCUUGGAACUGCCUUUGAUACUGGAGAUCUUGAGUCCGGGAGAGGUGAGUGGAACUGCGAGUGUAG